Molecule: long non-coding RNA, 837 nt
Filed under: Panax ginseng (ginseng)
Lineage: Eukaryota; Viridiplantae; Streptophyta; Magnoliopsida; Apiales; Araliaceae
Description: long non-coding RNA (PGIN_LNC011591)
Source: RNAcentral
UUUGAUUAAAGCUCUGUUUUUGAGAAUCUUUUGGUGGUCCGUUCAGUUGGCUUCUAAAGCUUUGUAAUCUAGUAAGUCUUCUUAUCUUUUUACUCUUAUUUUUAUGCAUGUCCCCUUCUGAAUACUGAAAGCCUUUAAAAAAUAUCAUAUAUGAUUGUAGAAGAUGUUUACAUUCUGUAUGACAGAGAUCAAACAGAAAUAUAAGUCGCACCCGCAGGAAAAAAUAUCUUACUUUUAUCUCAAUUAUUUAUAGUUAUUUUUACGUGAAAAUUUUUCAAAGAAUUUUUACCUGUUUGGAAGAUUUGUUAUAUACAGUCUGUUAUUCUUCAAGUAUAGCACUAUUCUGAUCAAGAUUCGCAAUGACCUUAUUUCCACGUAGAGCUUGAGGUUAGGUGCUAUGCAACCUAACCACGAAAUGAUGGAGGUUAGUAUAAUGAAUAAAGAAAUACUAUGUCGAGUGAUUUUGAUGAUGCAUAGUUAUUUUACUAUGCAGUGUAGUCGAGUAAAUAUUUCUAAAUCGAAAAAAAUGAAUUGAACUGAUCAUGCAUACCAAUGCUUUAAUGUUCUUUUCUCUGCCUUGCAGGUAAAUUAUCACUUUUGGUAUAUAUAACUAUGGCUAUAGCAAAUAUGAAUUGGAGAAGAGGUGAAGAUAGGUGCAGCAAACACUGAAACAUAGGGAUCUAAGCCUCCAAUAUAAAUGUCAUUUUGUAACUGUCCAGUUGAAUAUUGUCCUACUCCCUCUCCCUCUGUCUAGAGAAAAGAGUCGAAUUCUCGAUGGGAAUACCGAGAAAUUAGGACUCUUAUUUCCAGAUGGAGGGGAGUGGGAGUAGGAAACAU